RNAcentral lists this ribosomal RNA (238 nucleotides) under uncultured Staphylococcus sp. RNAcentral's name for it is "partial 16S ribosomal RNA". It matches the Rfam family "Bacterial small subunit ribosomal RNA", at positions 106 to 334 of the family's 1533-position model. The record is from RNAcentral. Lineage: Bacteria; Bacillati; Bacillota; Bacilli; Caryophanales; Staphylococcaceae.
CGGUGUGAGUAACGCGUGGAUAACCUACCUAUAAGACUGGGAUAACUUCGGGAAACCGGAGCUAAUACCGGAUAAUAUAUUGAACCGCAUGGUUCAAUAGUGAAAGACGGUUUUGCUGUCACUUAUGGAUGGAUCCGCGCCGCAUUAGCUAGUUGGUAAGGUAACGGCUUACCAAGGCAACGAUGCGUAGCCGACCUGAGAGGGUGAUCGGCCACACUGGAACUGAGACACGGUCCAG